RNAcentral lists this ribosomal RNA (253 nucleotides) under uncultured bacterium. RNAcentral's name for it is "partial 16S ribosomal RNA". It matches the Rfam family "Bacterial small subunit ribosomal RNA", at positions 524 to 776 of the family's 1533-position model. The record is from RNAcentral.
UACAGAGGUCUCAAGCGUUGUUCGGAUUCAUUGGGCGUAAAGCGCGCGUAGGUGGCUUCGUAAGUCCGUUGUGAAAGUCAAAGGCUCAACCUUUGAAAGCCGAUGGAUACUGCGGAGCUAGAGUACGGAAGAGGCGAGUGGAAUUCCUGGUGUAGCGGUGAAAUGCGCAGAUAUCAGGAAGAACACCCGUGGCGAAGGCGGCUCUCUGGAACGCAACUGACGCUGAGACGCGAAAGCGUGGGGAGCAAACAGG